Molecule: ribosomal RNA, 376 nt
Filed under: Aplanochytrium stocchinoi
Lineage: Eukaryota; Bigyra; Thraustochytrida; Thraustochytriidae
Description: partial Bacterial large subunit ribosomal RNA
Rfam family: Bacterial large subunit ribosomal RNA
Source: RNAcentral
UACUCCGGGGAUAACAGGCUGAUACUGCCCAAGAGUCCAUAUCGACGGCAGUGUUUGGCACCUCGAUGUCGGCUCAUCUCAUCCUGGGGCUGAAGCAGGUCCCAAGGGUAUGGCUGUUCGCCAUUUAAAGAGGCACGCGAGCUGGGUUUAGAACGUCGUGAGACAGUUCGGUCCCUAUCUACCGUGGGCGUUGGAAAUUUGAGAGGAUCUGCUCCUAGUACGAGAGGACCAGAGUGGACGAACCUCUGGUGUACCGGUUGUGACGCCAGUCGCAUCGCCGGGUAGCUAUGUUCGGAAGGGAUAACCGCUGAAAGCAUCUAAGCGGGAAGCCUACCUCAAGAUAAGAUUUCCCUAGGACUUUAUGUCCUCUAAAGAG